UCUUGGUCAAUUUAGAGGAAGUAAAAGUCGUAACAAGGUUUCCGUAGGUGAACCUGCGGAAGGAUCAACCCCUGUGGGUAUAGUGAGAUGGUUUUUCCAACCCAACCCGUGCGCACAUCCAUUGGACUGGAUGCACGGGUGUGUGGUCUUCUUGGUGGGGAGGCCUGGUUAGGGCCUGACUUGGUGGGGGUGACUAGGCUGGACGGUGUACUGACAAAGCCGUUUUUCCAGUUAUAGAGCCGUUCCGGUCGGGCCCAAGGGCAUGUCCAGUCCCAUUGGUGGUGGACGCCCCUCCGUGGGCUCUGAGGCCUUGUCACCCUCAGUGUCCGUCGGAGUCUACAAAGGGGCACUUGUGCCCCGGCGUAACGUGGAUGUGUGUACAUACAUAUUCCGGUUGGCCUUGUGCCAACAACAUGCCAGUGAAGACGUGUCCUUGUCCACUCCAACGUUUUUACCUACGGGACAAGGCCUAGCUGGUCCGCAGGCGGCGGGAUGACUUGGGUUGGAAGAGGGGGCCGAUGUGUACACAAUGCCCUCCUUCCGUUGUGCCCAAUCGUCUGAAGUUAUGGGCCUCGACGAAUUGAUGUAAGUCGAGGGGGUCAUAUCUGUUUUUGGCCCGGCAUGGACCUAGACCUACACGCGGUGCCCCUGUUCUUGACUGAUUAGGUCUAUAACAUCRAGCUGAGUUUUCCAAUGGGUUUUUAAAUAACUCUCAACAAUGGAUCUCUAGGCUCUUGCAUCGAUGAAGAACGCAGUGAACUGCGAUAACUGGUGUGAGUUGCAUGGCACUUCUAAUCUAACACCAAGCGAAUCAUCGAGUCUUUGAACGCAAACGGCACCCUUCCAGUCCAUUCCAAAGCGGUGGCGGAGGAUGAAGACAAGGGUAUCUCUGGCUGAGGGUAAUGAGAACUGAUCCAGUGUAACCGUUGGUUUAGCUGGGGAUUGGGCUUGCUUGGGGCAGUUGCUCUGGCUUGCCUCAAAAUCAAGCGUUGUGUGGAUUGGACUUUCAAGCAUGCAUUGGGGACGCAGGCUCUGCGCUAUGGCAAGCCCUUGACCGUCAUAGGUGCUUUGAUUGGGGUUUUCAGUCUAGCCAACAAGGCUGGGUUGAAGGACUUUGGGGCUGCAUUGGGGGCGCAAGGGCAGCUCUGUUCGUGGCGUCCGAUGACCGUCAUGAUGCAUGCGUGAUUGGACUUCAACUAGCAAUUUAUCAUUAUCAUCAUCAUUACUAUGGGUUACCUCAGGUCAGAGAAGACUACCCGCUGGACUUAAGCAUAUCACUAAGCGGAGGAAAAGAAACUAACUAGGAUUCCCCCAGUAACUGCGAGUGAAGAGGGAAGAGCUCAUCAUUGGAAUCUGGCAGUGUUGCACUGUCCGAGUUGUAGAUGAGGAGUAGUCCGUCUGGACUGCAUGGCGUCCAAGUACAAUAGGCCGUCAGUG
Molecule: unclassified non-coding RNA, 1437 nt
Filed under: Cantharellus anzutake
Lineage: Eukaryota; Fungi; Basidiomycota; Agaricomycetes; Cantharellales; Hydnaceae
Description: partial contains 18S rRNA, ITS1, 5.8S rRNA, ITS2 and 28S RNA
Rfam family: Eukaryotic large subunit ribosomal RNA (bases 1233-1437)
Source: RNAcentral